CUAUCUGCACUUUUUUUUUUUUUAUAGAUCCAUAUAUAUCCAAUGGGUAUUAUAUCCUUUGGGGGAUGUACUAAGAUCCAUAUAUGAUUGAAAUGUAUUGAGUCAAUUUAUGACUUCAUGACAUUCAACUAUUUCUUAGAGUCGAUGUCUGAUAUCACAUCGUUGUAGGUUUUAGGAUCAUCUCCAUAUUCCCUAUCACCUACGAAGAAUAUUUUCUUUACAU
RNAcentral lists this long non-coding RNA (223 nucleotides) under Elaeis guineensis (African oil palm). RNAcentral's name for it is "long non-coding RNA (EGUI_LNC009105)". The record is from RNAcentral. Lineage: Eukaryota; Viridiplantae; Streptophyta; Magnoliopsida; Arecales; Arecaceae.